This 332-nucleotide unclassified non-coding RNA is filed under the name soil metagenome. RNAcentral's name for it is "partial contains 5.8S ribosomal RNA, internal transcribed spacer 2, and large subunit ribosomal RNA". The stretch from base 1 to 120 matches the Rfam family "5.8S ribosomal RNA", at positions 35 to 154 of the family's 154-position model. The record is from RNAcentral.
GAUAAAGAACGUAGCGAAAUGCGAUACGUAAUGUGAAUUGCAGAUUUCAGUGAAUCAUCGAAUCUUUGAACGCACAUUGCGCCCGCUAGUAUUCUGGCGGGCAUGCCUGUUCGAGCGUCAUUUCAACCAUCAAGCCCUAGGCUUGCGUUGGAGCCCUGCGGCUGCCGCAGGCUCCCAAAUCCAGUGGCGGGCUCGUCGUCGUACCGAGUGCAGUAAACAUCCUCGCUCAGGGAACGUGACGGGUUCUUGCCGUGAAACCCCCCACAUAUCAAGGUUGACCUCGGAUCAGGUAGGAAUACCCGCUGAACUUAAGCAUAUCAAUAAGCGGAGGA